RNAcentral lists this long non-coding RNA (214 nucleotides) under Phoenix dactylifera (date palm). RNAcentral describes it as "long non-coding RNA (PDAC_LNC014301)". Lineage: Eukaryota; Viridiplantae; Streptophyta; Magnoliopsida; Arecales; Arecaceae. The record is from RNAcentral.
UCUUUGGCUUCUUGUCUUUCUUCUGCUUCUUAGCAGGCUUCUUUUUCUUCCAAGUAGACUUUCUCUUGGAACCAGAAGUCAACUCAGCAGCAAAGACAUUGCCCCUUGAACCUUUCAAGGCUCCCUCAGCAGUUACCAACAUGUUGAUUAGUUCAGUCUUAGUGCAUUCAAUCUUAUUCAUGUGGUAGUUUACUAUAAACUGACCAAAUGAAUC